ACAAAAUGAACCUCUUCAUUCCAACAACUUGUUUCUACAAAAUAUCAACAAAGUCAUUUUCACUUGCAGCAUAACAACAAAAUAGGCCAUAGAAUAACAUUUACAACCUUCCAAAAUAACAGAAUCUAUUUUCCAAAAAAACAUAACUUGUUUUUAUAAAAAAAGUACCUGUUUAAAAAAAAACAAAACAAAACCUAUCUUACAAAAUAUCACAAGCUAUCUUCCCAAAAUAAGGCAACUUGUCUUCCAAAAUAAUAUAAUAACCUAACCCAACUAGCUAAUAAAGGUAAAACUGUCUUGUGAUAACAAAAUAGCCUAACCCAACCAGCUGAAGCUUAAGUCUGAUGCUCCCACAAUCAUAGGUCAUUUCCUCAAUAAAUAAGAAUUGCCAGCUGAAGCUUCAGUUAAUGCAAGAAGGACAGAUCCACUUGCAGGAGGGGCAGAUGUUAAGGAUGGAGCAGCUAAAUCACUUGGUGGUACAUUUGAACUUCCAACUGCAGUGGUGGCCUUUCUCUUUCAUUUACCUUUCUGCACAACUCUUGUAGGCUUAGCUCACCUUGUUGUUGUAUUGGGACCAACUUCACUUGUUUAAAUAGUUUGUUGGGAUGAGACAAAAAAUAAUAAACUGUUAGUUGCAGGAUAUACAAAAAAUCAAAAAAUUAAUAAAAGUAACAAAUGUUCAUCCUGAGAUGUUUACCUCAGCCUUCCUAUUUUUUAUUUUUGUUUUGGGGGCAGAUUCCUAUGACAAGUCCUUUUAUUAUGGCCCUUUCUUCCACAUUGGCCGCACUUCAGUGAAUCUUGAACUUUUGUAACAACAUUGGUCUUCUUGCUUGACUCACAUGCUUCCUUCCUUCUACCCUUUUUUGGCCUUCCAGGUUGUUUGGAGUAUGAAGGAGGCACACAUGGUGGUAUAUUAGUUCUAUCCAACAACUCCGUCCCAUUCAUAGGUAGUAUGAGGUUUUCAUAUGCCUUGAAAUAUGUCUCAGUGUGAUAACAUGCAUCCACAAAAUCCAUUACAUUCAGGCCCCCAUUGUAAUUUAUAGAUGCCACUCCAUGAACACAAGGCCAACCAGUCAAAUCCCAUUCUCUGCAAGAACAGCUCCUCAAAUCCAAGUCCACAAUAUACUGUGAAAUCCCAC
Molecule: long non-coding RNA, 1139 nt
Filed under: Prunus persica (peach)
Lineage: Eukaryota; Viridiplantae; Streptophyta; Magnoliopsida; Rosales; Rosaceae
Description: long non-coding RNA (PPER_LNC006934)
Source: RNAcentral